CGAAGGAUGCAAGCGUUAUCCGGAUUCAUUGGGUUUAAAGGGAGCGUAGGUGGUCUUAUAAGUCAGUGGUGAAAUCCUGUCGCUUAACGAUAGAAUUGCCAUUGAUACUGUAGGACUUGAGUACAGUUGCCGUUGGCGGAAUAUGACAUGUAGUGGUGAAAUACAUAGAUAUGUCAUAGAACACCGAUUGCGAAGGCAGCUGACGAAACUGUAACUGACACUGAGGCUCGAAAGUGUGGGGAUCAAACAGGAUUAGAUACCCUGGUAGUCCACACUGUAAACGAUGAUUACUCGCUGCUGGAGGGCAACCUUCAGUGGCUUAGCAAAAGCGAUAAGUAAUCCACCUGGGGAGUACGCCGGCAACGGUG
Molecule: ribosomal RNA, 368 nt
Filed under: uncultured organism
Description: bacterial SSU rRNA
Rfam family: Bacterial small subunit ribosomal RNA
Source: RNAcentral